AUUUGUAACUCUUUGAGCAUUUGAUUUGAAAUCAGAUUGAUUGUUUUUAUUAACAAUACAAAUU
RNAcentral lists this transfer RNA (64 nucleotides) under Anindobothrium anacolum. Its description in RNAcentral is "tRNA-Ser". The record is from RNAcentral. Lineage: Eukaryota; Metazoa; Platyhelminthes; Cestoda; Phyllobothriidea; Phyllobothriidae.